GUAUUCAUUAACAUAAAGUCUGAAAUUUAUUUAUUUAUAUGAUUUCAGAUAUUGAAAGAGGAUCUUAAAGAAUUAAGGAUUCCAGAUGAAUUUGUAGAUGAUCUUUUUAAUGUUAUUUAUGGUCCAAGAAGAAUAGCCAUUGAUGCAGGUAGAUUAAAGCAAGGACCAAGUUUACCCAUUUUAAAAUCUUUAAGAUGGAGAGUGGAUGUAACAAUUUCUAACAGUGUGCUAAACAGAGUUUUGGAGCCUUCAGUGUUAAUGGAACUCAUUUCAGAUAAUAAUGCUAAGUAUACUUUUGAAGUAAGAAAUAAUUUCACAUUUUUAACAGUUUAUAAAAAGACAUUUACAUCAUAAUUCUCUAAUAUUUUAUAAAAGAAUAUAUCAAAUGAGAAAGUAUAUUAUUUUGAACUAAGUGGA
Long non-coding RNA from Centruroides sculpturatus (bark scorpion), 417 nucleotides. RefSeq lists it as uncharacterized. The record is from RefSeq and is a predicted model, not a curated record. The transcript is spliced from 4 exons. NCBI's taxonomy places the organism in Eukaryota, Metazoa, Arthropoda, Arachnida, Scorpiones, Buthidae.